GGGAUAUUGAGGACCUUUGGGAGCUACAGCAGGCAGAACUUAAGAUACUUAGUAGGAGAGGUAAGCGAGGGGAAAGCUGGAAAUGCUGCUGGUGACUGGAGGUGCUGUGCUGCCAUUUACUGGGAUGGAGAAUACAUGAGAUUGCAAGAACUGAUGUCAAGGCUGGGUGCAGUGGUGCAUGCCUGUAAUUCUAGCAAUUGGGAGACUGAAGCAAGACAAUUGCUGUGAGUUCAAGGCCAACCGGAACUACAUGGUGAGACCCUGUCUCAAAAAGCCAAAAACAAACUAACAAAAAACCCCCAACCCUGAUGUCUAUGCCCAGAACCACCAUAGGGAAGGGAUGUGGAGGGACAGAACCCAAGAAAGGAGCAGCAGACAGC
RNAcentral lists this long non-coding RNA (380 nucleotides) under Cavia porcellus (domestic guinea pig). Its description in RNAcentral is "lncRNA (ENSCPOG00000040318.1)". Lineage: Eukaryota; Metazoa; Chordata; Mammalia; Rodentia; Caviidae. The record is from RNAcentral.